RNAcentral lists this transfer RNA (75 nucleotides) under Escherichia coli. Its description in RNAcentral is "tRNA-Gln". It matches the Rfam family "tRNA". From Rfam's summary of the family: Transfer RNA (tRNA) molecules are approximately 80 nucleotides in length. Their secondary structure includes four short double-helical elements and three loops (D, anti-codon, and T loops). RNAcentral also lists the same sequence under 5 other names. Lineage: Bacteria; Pseudomonadati; Pseudomonadota; Gammaproteobacteria; Enterobacterales; Enterobacteriaceae. The record is from RNAcentral.
UGGGGUAUCACCAAGCGGUAAGGCACCGGUUUUUGAUACCGGCAUUCCCUGGUUCGAAUCCAGGUACCCCAGCCA